RNAcentral lists this ribosomal RNA (435 nucleotides) under uncultured bacterium. Its description in RNAcentral is "bacterial SSU rRNA". It matches the Rfam family "Bacterial small subunit ribosomal RNA", at positions 29 to 464 of the family's 1533-position model. The record is from RNAcentral.
AUUGAACGCUGGCGGCAUGCUUUACACAUGCAAGUCGAACGGUAACAGGGAGCUUGCUCCGCUGACGAGUGGCGAACGGGUGAGUAAUGCAUCGGAACGUACCCAGUCGUGGGGGAUAACGUAGCGAAAGUUACGCUAAUACCGCAUACGUCCUGAGGGAGAAAGCGGGGGGACCGUAAGGCCUCGCGCGAUUGGAGCGGCCGAUGUCGGAUUAGCUAGUUGGUAGGGUAAAGGCCUACCAAGGCGACGAUCCGUAGCGGGUCUGAGAGGAUGAUCCGCCACACUGGGACUGAGACACGGCCCAGACUCCUACGGGAGGCAGCAGUGGGGAAUUUUGGACAAUGGGCGAAAGCCUGAUCCAGCCAUGCCGCGUGAGUGAAGAAGGCCUCGGUGUAAGACUCUUUCUAGCCGGAAAGAAAUACGCGCAGGAGUAAU